This 2152-nucleotide long non-coding RNA is filed under the name Homo sapiens (human). RNAcentral's name for it is "long intergenic non-protein coding RNA 320". Lineage: Eukaryota; Metazoa; Chordata; Mammalia; Primates; Hominidae. The record is from RNAcentral.
AGUAGAAGGAUAACAUGACAUAGCAGGAAUAAUACUGCCUUUUCUUUCUGGCAUGGAUCAAGAGAAAAGAAAAUACAAGAAAACAGACAGAAGCAAGGCAAGGUACUUCUAUGGAAGGGUGAGCCCUCACAGAUGGAGCAAUGGGGCGCGCACACCUGAACAAGGGAGGGGAAGGAGUUCUUAUCCCUGAUGCAUGUGACCCCUGCUGCUGUGUCCUUCCCCUAUUGGCUAAGGCUUCUGACAGCUUUGGAGAUUGUGACAUUGGAAUAAAGGAAAAACGUACAGGACUCAUGAAGCGCUGAAAUGUUCACAAAUAUCAAGCAAAAGUCAAUGAAAUUUAUUUUGAGCUAUUUACAUCAUUUAAUAAUUGAGCAAGGUAUACUCCUAUGAACAAAAUUUGGAGCAUGUUUGUCUCUCUCUGCCUGGCGUCUUCAGAAUUUGGAAACUAGUUGUCAGGAGUUAACUUUUAUGUGACAAGCUUUACUAGGUCAGGAGCCUAUCGCUGUUUAUAUUCUCUGCAAAGUUUUAAUUGUGAAAAAGGAUUUGAGAUGGUUUAUAAUCAGCUAUAGAAUUUUAACACGUGCUCUCAAAUGCAAGUUUCUGAUAACUUUGGAGAUUGUGACAUUGGAAUAAAGGAAGAGCUGGAAUGUUCAUGAAUAUCAAGCAAAAGUCAUGGAAAUUUAUUUUGAGCUAUUUACAGCAUUUAAUAAUUGAGCAAGGUAUACUCCUAUGAACAAAAUUUGGAGCAUGUUUGUCUCUCUCUGUCUGCCUGGCAUCUACAGAAUUUGGAAACUAGUUGUGCUGUACUGCAUGAGAAUGCCUGCAUUUAGUAUGCGAACUGGAAUUGGCAAAGGACGAUGGCUGCUCUCCCGCUAACUUUAAAUAAGUCAUGUCACAAAUUGCAUUCGUUCCCAGAUUUCCUAAACUUUCCAGAGAAAAUGGUCUUCUCCCUGGCUCAGCAAGAAGAUGAACUUUAAACACUGAGAAACUGGUCAUCUCCCUGGCUCAACCAGAAGAUGAACUUUAAACACUACUCUCAAUGACUUGAUGUUCCCAUCACUACUCCUGUCAUAAAGGGAGGGGACUCAGAUAUUGAGAAUUUUAUGAUAGUGUGAACUGUCUGGUAUGUCAUUUAAGUAAGCCCGUUGCUGAAAUAUUUUCCAUGUUAUUAGAAAGAGCUGAAGAGAGGGAUUGAGAUGGCUUCUUUAUUUUUUGUCUUUUGGGAAUUAAAGGAACCUGGUUCAACAAGGGCCUACACCUAAGUCUCUUGUUGUACCAGAGUACAAUUUAGGACUGCUCCUGAGGAAGGAAUUAGCUAGAAAUCUAGAGAGUAAGGGUAACAGAUUUACAUAGAAUAACAGCCUCAGUAUUUUUGGUUCCUCUCCAGUAAAGAUCACAAAGAAUAUUGCUAAAUCGCUAAAACACCUUUGCAAUAACGUAAGGGCUUACAACUAUAUACCAAUGUAGCUCAGUUACUAAACUGGAGUAAACUAAUUUCUCUUGUGUAGAAAAAUUGGUUGGCUGUGGUUUUAUAGCAGAUCUGCAAUUAUUAAUAGUUAUGCCAAUAAUCGUUUAACAGUGCAUAUGUUAAUAUAUAUGGAAAGACAAUGUGUAUAGACAGAUGUGUAAAAUUGAAAAAUAAACAUAUAACAAGAGAGAAACAUCUAUCGAACAGACAAUAUACAUACACAUCAAACACAACAGCAGUUUUAGUGACCAUAAUAUUUAUUUCUCAUUUUUACAUUGCUUACUUUAGUGACAACUGAAAAUGACAGUUGGCAAUGCAGCUAACAGUUUCAAUAAAAGUAUAAAACAAAAGACUGUGUACAAAGCACCUGUCUUUCCGCUUUUGUAAUCUUCCGUUGGAAAAAAUUUACACACCUAAGUAACCAUCUGUUUUCUUCAAGAAAAAAUCAUUCUUAUUUCUCUCUCUCAUCUUGAAAACAGCUGUCAGCCAGGAGGGCAGAGCUGAAAUUUAUUGCCACAUCACAUGAAGCAUAGAACAGACUCCACUACUCCUUGAGAUUCAAAACUUUGCCUCUCACAAAGUUACCUUUUAUUUUCCUCUUGUUUGUCACUCAUCUCCCCUAGUGUGCUCUUUUUAUUUCUUUUACUAUUAAUAAUAAAAUCUGUGGAUGACUGUAUUAUUGAA